CAGUCGCCGCGGGAAUACGUAGGGUGCGAGCGUUAAUCGGAAUUACUGGGCGUAAAGCGUGCGCAGGCGGUUUGUUAAGACAGAUGUGAAAUCCCCGGGCUUAACCUGGGAACUGCAUUUGUGACUGGCCGGCUAGAGUAUGGCAGAGGGAGGUGGAAUUCCACGUGUAGCAGUGAAAUGCGUAGAUAUGUGGAGGAACACCGAUGGCGAAGGCAGCCUCCUGGGCCAAUACUGACGCUCAUGCACGAAAGCGUGGGGAGCAAACAGGAUUAGAUACCCCGGUAGUCCCUGUCUCUUAUAU
Molecule: ribosomal RNA, 301 nt
Filed under: uncultured bacterium
Lineage: Bacteria
Description: partial 16S ribosomal RNA
Rfam family: Bacterial small subunit ribosomal RNA
Source: RNAcentral